AUUGAACGCUGGCGGAAUGCUUUACACAUGCAAGUCGAACGGCAGCACGGGGGCAACCCUGGUGGCGUGUGGCGAACGGGUGAGUAAUACAUCGGAACGUGCCCGGUCGUGGGGGAUAACGUAGCGAAAGUUACGCUAAUACCGCAUACGAUCUGAGGAUGAAAGCGGGGGACCUUCGGGCCUCGCGCGAUCGGAGCGGCCGAUGUCAGAUUAGGUAGUUGGUGGGGUAAAGGCCUACCAAGCCGACGAUCUGUAGCUGGUCUUAGAGGACGACCAGCCACACUGGGACUGAGACACGGCCCAGACUCCUACGGGAGGCGGCAGUGGGGAAUUUUGGACAAUGGGCGCAAGCCUGAUCCAGCCAUUCCGCGUGCAGGACGAAGGCCUUCGGGUUGUAAACUGCUUUUGUAUGGAACGAAAAGGCUCUGGCUAAUACCUGGGGCUCAUGACGGUACCGUAAGAAUAAGCACCGGCUAACUACGUG
RNAcentral lists this ribosomal RNA (484 nucleotides) under uncultured bacterium. RNAcentral describes it as "partial 16S ribosomal RNA". It matches the Rfam family "Bacterial small subunit ribosomal RNA", at positions 30 to 507 of the family's 1533-position model. The record is from RNAcentral.